ACUGACACCAUCAACAUCAAAAAUUGAGUUUUGCGCGUGCUUUUUCGGUACUUCGAGUGAGUUUUUUUUUUCAAUUUAAACAAUAUACGUACAAUUAAUGGACAAAAUUGAUUUAAAUUUGCAUCAUGAGUCAUAUUUGACGUAUGCGAACACUAUUUUUCGCGAAUCACGUGUACGGAGUAAUAAGAUUAGGACUCCAUUAGUCAUAAUCAUAACUCAUCUUCUGGUGUUGCUGUUAUCUUUUACACCCAUGUUAGCUCGAACUUCAUGGACGUUUUGGGUAAGUAAACCAGUAAACGAACACGUUGUAACUUGAGUGUACUCAUACCUGUAAAGCAAACAUGCCCAUCGUUACUAAACCCAUCCAGCUGUGUAGAGUAUAGAAGUGUGUUUCUCCAGACAACAUUUUCUUGUCGAAAACUGCGAAAAAUCCCAAACCAAUGCAUGGGAUGGCCAAUAUAUGGAAAAUCGUGUGGAACAGUUUCACGAAAAUAUGCCUGCAGCAUCGACUUAUUCUGUACAACAGCAU
Planococcus citri (citrus mealybug) is the source of this 529-nucleotide long non-coding RNA. RefSeq lists it as uncharacterized. NCBI's taxonomy places the organism in Eukaryota, Metazoa, Arthropoda, Insecta, Hemiptera, Pseudococcidae. The record is from RefSeq and is a predicted model, not a curated record. The transcript is spliced from 2 exons.